AACGUAGGGGACAAGCGUUAUCCGGAUUUACUGGGCGUAAAGCGCCCGUAGGCGGCCUGACAAGUUGGACGUGAAAGCUCCUGGCUUAACUGGGAGAGGCCGUUCAAAACUGUCAAGCUAGAGUCUGGAAGAGGAGAGCGGAAUUCCCGGUGUAGUGGUGGAAUGCGCAGAUAUCAGGAAGAACACCAAUGGCGAAGGCAGCUCUCUGGGACGGUACUGACGCUGAGACGCGAAAGCGUGGGGAGCGAACAGG
RNAcentral lists this ribosomal RNA (253 nucleotides) under uncultured bacterium. Its description in RNAcentral is "partial 16S ribosomal RNA". It matches the Rfam family "Bacterial small subunit ribosomal RNA", at positions 524 to 776 of the family's 1533-position model. The record is from RNAcentral.